ACUUGUGAUCAUAAAAUUCCAGACUUCUACAAAUCAUACCAAAAAAUAUUGUAUCUUUUUUGUGAUUAGGAUGUAAUUGCAGGAUCAAGAAUUGGUUCAGCCGAUAUAACAUAGUCCAGAUUGACACUUCUAGUUCAAUAAAAGGAAAUGGACACAGUUUUUUAUCCAUAAAAGACACAGGAAGUAGGAUAUAAAGAUAUUCGAGGUGCGACAAUUAAUCUUUCCGAGAAAAAAAAUAUCCUUGUAGGAGAGUUACUACGAUUGGUUCACAACUAUCCCACAAUAUCUAGAUCACAUCUCAAAUAAACUUCAACAUAAUCUCCUUGAUGCAUUGUCGGUAAACUAUCAUUAUUCAACCCACAGA
Long non-coding RNA from Lycium ferocissimum, 364 nucleotides. RefSeq lists it as uncharacterized. The transcript is spliced from 2 exons. The record is from RefSeq and is a predicted model, not a curated record. Lineage: Eukaryota; Viridiplantae; Streptophyta; Magnoliopsida; Solanales; Solanaceae.